UACGUAGGGGGCAAGCGUUGUCCGGAUUCACUGGGCGUAAAGCGCGCGCAGGCGGUGAUGUAAGUCUGAGGUGAAAACCCGAAGCUCAACUUCGGGACUGCCUUGGAUACUGCGUCACUUGAGGAUAGGAGAGGCAAGGGGAAUUCCACGUGUAGCGGUGAAAUGCGUAGAGAUGUGGAGGAACACCUGUGGCGAAGGCGCCUUGCUGGCCUAUUUCUGACGCUGAGGCGCGAAAGCGUGGGGAG
RNAcentral lists this ribosomal RNA (245 nucleotides) under uncultured Tumebacillus sp. Its description in RNAcentral is "partial 16S ribosomal RNA". It matches the Rfam family "Bacterial small subunit ribosomal RNA", at positions 524 to 768 of the family's 1533-position model. Lineage: Bacteria; Bacillati; Bacillota; Bacilli; Caryophanales; Alicyclobacillaceae. The record is from RNAcentral.